Molecule: ribosomal RNA, 414 nt
Filed under: bacterium enrichment culture clone ALO1_GLFRUDD03GYY42
Lineage: Bacteria
Description: bacterial SSU rRNA
Rfam family: Bacterial small subunit ribosomal RNA
Source: RNAcentral
GUAGUUUGAUCUUGGCUCAGAUUGAACGCUGGCGGCAUGCCUUACACAUGCAAGCCGAACGGCAGCACGGGAGCUUGCUCCUGGUGGCGAGUGGCGAACGGGUGAGUAAUGCAUCGGGAACGUAUCCUGGAGUGGGGGAUAACGUAGCGAAAGUUACGCUAGUACCGCAUAUUCUGUGAGCAGGAAAGCGGGGGGACCUUCGGGCCUCGCGCUCUUGGAGCGGCCGAUGUCGGAUUAGCUAGUUGGUGAGGUAAAGGCUCACCAAGGCGACGAUCCGUAGCAGGUCUGAGAGGAUGAUCUGCCACACUGGAACUGAGACACGGUCCAGACUCCUACGGGAGGCAGCAGUGGGGAAUUUUGGACAAUGGGGGCAACCCUGAUCCAGCCAUGCCGCGUGAGUAGAAGAAGGCCUGG